UGGGGAAUCUUCCGCAAUGGACGAAAGUCUGACGGAGCAACGCCGCGUGAGUGAUAACGGCCUUCGGGUUGUAAAGCUCUGUUAAUCGGGACGAAUGGUUCUUGUGCGAAUAGUGCAAGGAUUUGACGGUACCGGAAUAGAAAGCCACGGCUAACUACGUGCCAGCAGCCGCGGUAAUACGUAGGUGGCAAGCGUUGUCCGGAAUUAUUGGGCGUAAAGCGCGCGCAGGCGGAUUGGUCAGUCUGUCUUAAAAGUUCGGGGCUUAACCCCGUGAUGGGAUGGAAACUGCCAAUCUAGAGUAUCGGAGAGGAAAGUGGAAUUCCUAGUGUAGCGGUGAAAUGCGUAGAUAUUAGGAAGAACACCAGUGGCGAAGGCGACUUUCUGGACGAAAACUGACGCUGAGGCGCGAAAGCCAGGGGAGCGAACGGG
This 429-nucleotide ribosomal RNA is filed under the name bacterium. RNAcentral's name for it is "partial 16S ribosomal RNA". It matches the Rfam family "Bacterial small subunit ribosomal RNA", at positions 355 to 776 of the family's 1533-position model. The record is from RNAcentral.